RNAcentral lists this ribosomal RNA (301 nucleotides) under uncultured bacterium. RNAcentral describes it as "partial 16S ribosomal RNA". It matches the Rfam family "Bacterial small subunit ribosomal RNA", at positions 509 to 807 of the family's 1533-position model. The record is from RNAcentral.
CAGUCGCCGCGGGAAUACGUAGGGUCCGAGCGUUGUCCGGAAUUACUGGGCGUAAAGCGUGCGUAGGCGGUGAGUUAAGUCUGCUGUGAAAUCCCCGGGCUCAACCUGGGAAUGGCAAUGGAUACUGGCGAGCUAGAGUGUGUCAGAGGAUGGUGGAAUUCCCGGUGUAGCGGUGAAAUGCGUAGAGAUCGGGAGGAACAUCAGUGGCGAAGGCGGCCAUCUGGGACAACACUGACGCUGAGGUACGAAAGCGUGGGGAGCAAACAGGAUUAGAGACCCCUGUAGUCCCUGUCUCUUAUAC